This 1172-nucleotide ribosomal RNA is filed under the name Cryobacterium sp. RNAcentral's name for it is "bacterial SSU rRNA". It matches the Rfam family "Bacterial small subunit ribosomal RNA", at positions 66 to 1256 of the family's 1533-position model. The record is from RNAcentral. Lineage: Bacteria; Bacillati; Actinomycetota; Actinomycetes; Micrococcales; Microbacteriaceae.
ACGGUGAAGAGGAGCUUGCUCCUUGGAUCAGUGGCGAACGGGUGAGUAACACGUGAGUAACCUGCCCUUGACUCUGGGAUAAGCACUGGAAACGGUGUCUAAUACCGGAUACGAGCUUCAGCCGCAUGGCUAGGAGUUGGAAAGAAUUUCGGUCAAGGAUGGACUCGCGGCCUAUCAGCUAGUUGGUGAGGUAAUGGCUCACCAAGGCGACGACGGGUAGCCGGCCUGAGAGGGUGACCGGCCACACUGGGACUGAGACACGGCCCAGACUCCUACGGGAGGCAGCAGUGGGGAAUAUUGCACAAUGGGCGCAAGCCUGAUGCAGCAACGCCGCGUGAGGGACGACGGCCUUCGGGUUGUAAACCUCUUUUAGUAGGGAAGAAGCGAAAGUGACGGUACCUGCAGAAAAAGCACCGGCUAACUACGUGCCAGCAGCCGCGGUAAUACGUAGGGUGCAAGCGUUGUCCGGAAUUAUUGGGCGUAAAGAGCUCGUAGGCGGUUUGUCGCGUCUGCUGUGAAAACCCGAGGCUCAACCUCGGGCCUGCAGUGGGUACGGGCAGACUAGAGUGCGGUAGGGGAGAUUGGAAUUCCUGGUGUAGCGGUGGAAUGCGCAGAUAUCAGGAGGAACACCAAUGGCGAAGGCAGAUCUCUGGGCCGUAACUGACGCUGAGGAGCGAAAGCAUGGGGAGCGAACAGGAUUAGAUACCCUGGUAGUCCAUGCCGUAAACGUUGGGAACUAGAUGUGGGGACCAUUCCACGGUCUCCGUGUCGCAGCUAACGCAUUAAGUUCCCCGCCUGGGGAGUACGGCCGCAAGGCUAAAACUCAAAGGAAUUGACGGGGGCCCGCACAAGCGGCGGAGCAUGCGGAUUAAUUCGAUGCAACGCGAAGAACCUUACCAAGGCUUGACAUAUAGAGGAAACGGCUGGAAACAGUCGCCCCGCAAGGUCUCUAUACAGGUGGUGCAUGGUUGUCGUCAGCUCGUGUCGUGAGAUGUUGGGUUAAGUCCCGCAACGAGCGCAACCCUCGUCCUAUGUUGCCAGCACGUAAUGGUGGGAACUCAUGGGAUACUGCCGGGGUCAACUCGGAGGAAGGUGGGGAUGACGUCAAUCAUCAUGCCCCUUAUGUCUUGGGCUUCAGCAUGCUACAUGGCCGGUACAAGGGCUGCAWNCCG